This is a long non-coding RNA of Helianthus annuus (common sunflower), 2880 nucleotides long. RefSeq lists it as uncharacterized. The transcript has 6 exons. The record is from RefSeq and is a predicted model, not a curated record. Lineage: Eukaryota; Viridiplantae; Streptophyta; Magnoliopsida; Asterales; Asteraceae.
GAAAACGGGUUUGGUAAUCAAACCACGUUUAUACUAAAAGACGGGUAAAUUACCUUUAGUGGUAAAAGUAACCCGGCGAAUAUUAGGAUUCUUAAAUAAACAAGAACUUACUAACUAGGAAUUUUAACCUAGUUAGCUAAUAUUCUAGAAGUAACUUAUGAUAGGGUUAAAAACAACCAAAACUAUAUGUCAAACAAAAGAUGAGGGGCCUAAGUUGUAAGAAAUUGAAAUUAUAUUACUAAUUUUAAUACAAAUCAAAACCAAACACCCAUUAAGGAUGUCUGGUCGUACAGGAAAGGGCAGGGGCGACUCCCCACUCUUCAAAACCCUAGAACUUCACUAAUCUUGCAAAUUGAAGGUCCAAUUCAGUCCAAAAUCGAAAUUUAAGCAUGGAUUAUUAAUCCUCAUCACAAGAGGAUUAAAAGUUUGAUCUCGUUAAGCUAAGUGGGAGCUGGAAAGGAAUGGAUCAAACGGAUCAUGGAUGCGAAGAAUGUUUGCGCGGACACGACGGUAAAACGGCUUAUGGAAUUUACGUGGCUAUGAAUCAGCAAAUUAUUAAGGCAAGGUAUUAAAACGGGUCAAUACUUUGACCCGCGCCAGGUACGCGUAAAUUUGGUGAAAGAUAUGUGAAUACCUUAAUGUAGAAAAAUGACAUGUGAAAGUAGAGAGUAGGAUUUAAACUUAAAUGAUUAAAUCCUCUCUAACGGGUCAAAAUAAGAACUUGAACGUAAAUGGGUUCUAACUAAGUAAGAAACCCAUGAUUUAUGAUUUAUUUGAUAGGAAAUAUUGAAAUUAUGAUUUUCAUGAGUUUAUAGAGCAAGUAAACAUGUUUGUUUGAUAAAAUCGCGAACAGGUUAAAAUUUGGUAAAAAUGGUAAUAAGCCGAAGACUUAAAAGUCUUAAAUUUUGUUAAUUCGGAUGUUGGAUUUUGACUCCAUAUUAUGAAGGGUCAAAUUACAAUCAUGUAGGAAGAAACGGUGGGUCAAACGGAUAAGCGGUUUGAAAGAUACGAAAGUUUUCGUGCCAAUAAACGGCAAAAUAGGAAAGCUGGAAUGCAGGGGCCACCCUUACGGUGUCACCGUAAGUUAUGGUGGAGUUGAAGGCUUUACGGCAGCCCCCUACUGAUUUACGGUAGGGGCAUGUCACACCAGGGGCCAUCGUAACUUACGGUGCCACCGUAAGUUACGGUGGAGGCCAGUUGGGAAAUCCAUGUUUUGAGAUCAAGAGUUUAACGUUGGGAAUUCUUUUUCCUUCCAUUAUCAUUACCGGAUUUGUUUAGAUUUAUUUCAAUCCACGUAUGACUAAAGCAUUUCAUGUUUAUGAAAUGUAGGUUCAUUUUGGAUGCCGAGAGACGAUCAAGCUCAUCGAAGAACCGAACACGAUAUAGUUACAUGCUUCCGCACUUUGCCACGUUGUAUAUUUUAAACAACGAAUUCGAUCACGUUUUGUAGAAUAACUUAUGAAUUGUAAAUGUUUUAAUUUACUCGAAAUUUUCUAAGGAUACUUAACCUUAAAUACAUGUUUGUUUUCGUAAAUUAUACGAAAACCUUUAAAAUAAUAACUAGGGUGUUACAAGUUGGUAAUCAGAGCUCAUGGUUAAAGAGUAAAGUGUGUUUGGUUCGAGGCUUGAUCGCAAAUCCGGACACUCGCAUCUGAAGAUAGCGGGAGUUUAACAAAUUGCGGAUAUGAUGAUGGAACGGUCCGAGAUGUGACAAGAAGAGCAUACUCAUCAAGGACCUAAAUCGCGUAACGAUCGCAAAUAAGUAAUGGCAAGGAAUGCCCGUCGGGGCAAGCAUUACCAGUUUGAUCUCGUCAAGCUAAGUGGGAGCUGGAAAGGAAUGGAUCAAACGGAUCAUGGAUGCGAAGAAUGUUUGCGCGGACGCGACGGUAAAACGGCUUAUGGAAUUUACGUGGCUAUGAAUCAGCAAAUUAUUAAGGCAAGGUAUUAAAACGGGUCAAUACUUUGACCCGCGCCAGGUACGCGUAAAUUUGGUGAAAGAUAUGUGAAUACCUUAAUGUAGAAAAAUGACAUGUGAAAGUAGAGAGUAGGAUUUAAACUUAAAUGAUUAAAUCCUCUCUAACGGGUCAAAAUAAGAACUUGAACGUAAAUGGGUUCUAACUAAGUAAGAAACCCAUGAUUUAUGAUUUAUUUGAUAGGAAAUAUUGAAAUUAUGAUUUUCAUGAGUUUAUAGAGCAAGUAAACAUGUUUGUUUGAUAAAAUCGCGAACGGGUUAAAAUUUGGUAAAAAUGGUAAUAAGCUGAAGACUUAAAAGUCUUAAAUUUUGUUAAUUCGGAUGUUGGAUUUUGACUCCAUAUUAUGAAGGGUCAAAUUACAAUCAUGUAGGAAGAAACGGUGGGUCAAACGGAUAAGCGGUUUGAAAGAUACGAAAGUUUUCGUGCCAAUAAACGGCAAAAUAGGAAAGCUGGAAUGCAGGGGCCACCGUAACUUACGGUGUCACCGUAAGUUACGGUGGAGUUGAAGGCUUUACGGCAGCCCCCUACUGAUUUACGGUAGGGGCAUGUCACACCAGGGGCCACCGUAAGUUACGGUGCCACCGUAAGUUACGGUGGAGGCCAGUUGGGAAAUCCAUGUUUUGAGAUCAAGAGUUUAACGUUGGGAAUUCUUUUUCCUUCCAUUAUCAUUACCGGAUUUGUUUAGAUUUAUUUCAAUCCACGUAUGACUAAAGCAUUUCAUGUUUAUGAAAUGUAGGUUCAUUUUGGAUGCCGAGAGACGAUCAAGCUCAUCGAAGAACCGAACACGAUAUAGUUACAUGCUUCCGCACUUUGCCACGUUGUAUAUUUUAAACAACGAAUUCGAUCACGUUUUGUAGAAUAACUUAUGAAUUGUAAUAGUUUUAAUUUACUCGAAAUUUUCUAAGGA